AAGAGUUGCAAAACUCCAACCCCUGUGAACCUUACCUUUACUGUUGCUUCGGCGGUUGGCGCCGGUGCCCAGAUGGGCCUGGAGGUCGCCGCCGGAGGUUCGAAACCCUGAAUUCUAGUGUGUCUCUGAGAAAAGAAUAAAACAAUCA
This 148-nucleotide unclassified non-coding RNA is filed under the name soil metagenome. Its description in RNAcentral is "partial internal transcribed spacer 1". The record is from RNAcentral.